This 469-nucleotide ribosomal RNA is filed under the name uncultured bacterium. Its description in RNAcentral is "partial 16S ribosomal RNA". It matches the Rfam family "Bacterial small subunit ribosomal RNA", at positions 28 to 507 of the family's 1533-position model. The record is from RNAcentral.
GACGAACGCUGGCGGCGUGCUUAACACAUGCAAGUCGAACGAUGAUCUCCCGCUUGCGGGGGUGUUUAGUGGCGAACGGGUGAGUAAUACGUAAGUAACCUGCCCUUGACUCUGGGAUAAGCCUGGGAAACCGGCUCUAAUACUUGAUACUACUUCCUGCCGCCUGGUGGGGUGUGGAGAGGGUUUUACUGGUGUUGUAUGUGCUGACGGCCUAUCAGCUUGUUGGUGGAGUAAUGGAUCACCAAGGCGACGACGGGUACGCUGCCUAGGAGGGUGAACGGCGACACUGAGACUGAGGCAAGGCCCAGGCUCGGACUGGAGGCAGAAGGGGGGAAUAUUGAACGAGGGGCGGCGGCCUGAUGCAGAGGGGCUGCGGGAGGGAUGACGGCCUUAGUGUUGUAGAACACAUUCAGAAGGGAAGAAGCAACAAGUGACGGUACCUGAAGAAGAAGCGACGGCUAACUACGUG